RNAcentral lists this ribosomal RNA (534 nucleotides) under uncultured bacterium. Its description in RNAcentral is "bacterial SSU rRNA". It matches the Rfam family "Bacterial small subunit ribosomal RNA", at positions 978 to 1509 of the family's 1533-position model. The record is from RNAcentral.
CCCUUGACAUGUCCUCUAUGGAUUCCAGAGACGGAGUCCUUCACGUUCGGGUGGGAGGAACACAGGUGCUGCAUGGCUGUCGUCAGCUCGUGUCGCGAGAUGUUGGGUUAAGUCCCGCAACGAGCGCAACCCUCGCCCUUAGUUGCCAUCAUUUAGUUGGGCACUCUAAGGGGACUGCCGGUGAUAAGCCGGAGGAAGGUGGGGAUGACGUCAAGUCCUCAUGGCCCUUACGGGCUGGGCUACACACGUGCUACAAUGGCGGUGACAGAGGGAUGCAAAGGGGCAACCCUUCGCAAAUCUCAAAAAGCCGUCUCAGUUCGGAUUGGGGUCUGCAACUCGACCCCAUGAAGUUGGAAUCGCUAGUAAUCGCAGAUCAGCACGCUGCGGUGAAUACGUUCCCGGGCCUUGUACACACCGCCCGUCACACCAUGGGAGUUGGCUUUACCUGAAGACGGUGCGCUAACCGCAAGGAAGCAGCCGGCCACGGUAGGGUCAGCGACUGGGGUGAAGUCGUAACAAGGUAGGCGUACUACA